CUGCAGGCAGACGACAGCAGCCUUAGAGCUAUUAAUUUCUGAAAAAGCCAAUCGUUGCUUAUGGGGGAUAUUAAGGUGGUUAACAUUCAGCGACAUAAUAUUAAAGGAGCUAGCAAAAACAAGUUAUUUUAGAGAUCGCCCUGAGCCACCCCAUAGAUAAUAGGUAUACCCCGAUCUUGCAUGAAAGAUACAACCGAGCCAUGGGGGGCAUGGGUAUUAGUUAAGCGACAUAACAACAUGCAGAAAGAGCACCCAAGUUCCCCAUGGCUAGAGAUCACAGCAUUAAGCACUAAAAUAAG
Pelobates cultripes (western spadefoot toad) is the source of this 299-nucleotide non-coding RNA. Lineage: Eukaryota; Metazoa; Chordata; Amphibia; Anura; Pelobatidae. The record is from the annotation of a GenBank genome assembly.